UUUACCCGCAAGAGCUUCACGCGGAUCGGUAGCACUGGACAUAUUGACAGGCCUUUUUUGUCUGUUUAUUUGCUGCAUCUCGUACAUAUCAUUUCUGUGCAGCCAAUCAGAAUCUUCGCUCGUAUUGAUAUUCACAUUUGUCUGCGAGGUACAUCCAUGGGCAGGCUCCCCUACGGGUAUAACACAGAUGAUCUUUAAUCACCAUCAUGUUACAAUCUGUGAAAUAAUAUUAUGUGACAUGUACCUGGGGACAUAUCAGAGUUGAAGUUUGAUGCUGCAACUUUGCUCCUCAUUUUGCUGUAGUCGCGUUUCUUCUGCAAGAGAGAAGACAUUUGUUCGGGACUCAUUGAAUUGUAUCGGACUCUCUCACGCAACCUUUUUUUCUGCUGCACUUUGCUUGAGAGACGAUGGAACUAAAAGGC
This 422-nucleotide long non-coding RNA is filed under the name Triticum aestivum (bread wheat). RNAcentral describes it as "long non-coding RNA (TAES_LNC009019)". Lineage: Eukaryota; Viridiplantae; Streptophyta; Magnoliopsida; Poales; Poaceae. The record is from RNAcentral.